This 254-nucleotide ribosomal RNA is filed under the name uncultured bacterium. Its description in RNAcentral is "partial 16S ribosomal RNA". It matches the Rfam family "Bacterial small subunit ribosomal RNA", at positions 524 to 776 of the family's 1533-position model. The record is from RNAcentral.
UACGGGGGGAGCAAGCGUUGUUCGGAUUUACUGGGCGUAAAGGGCGCGUAGGCGGCCACCGCAAGUCGGUUGUGAAAUCUCUGGGCUUAACCCAGAAAGGUCAACCGAUACUGCGGGGCUAGAGUGCAGAAGGGGCAACUGGAAUUCUCGGUGUAGCGGUGAAAUGCGUAGAUAUCGAGAGGAACACCUGCGGCGAAGGCGACUACCUGGCCUGUUCUUGACGCUGAGGCGCGAAAGCUAGGGGAGCAAACGGG